Molecule: ribosomal RNA, 497 nt
Filed under: uncultured bacterium
Lineage: Bacteria
Description: partial 16S ribosomal RNA
Rfam family: Bacterial small subunit ribosomal RNA
Source: RNAcentral
GAUGAACGCUGGCGGCGUGCCUAAUACAUGCAAGUCGAGCGAACAGACGAGGAGCUUGCUCCUCUGACGUUAGCGGCGGACGGGUGAGUAACACGUGGAUAACCUACCUAUAAGACUGGGAUAACUUCGGGAAACCGGAGCUAAUACCGGAUAAUAUAUUGAACCGCAUGGUUCAAUAGUGAAAGACGGUUUUGCUGUCACUUAUAGAUGGAUCCGCGCCGCAUUAGCUAGUUGGUAAGGUAACGGCUUACCAAGGCAACGAUGCGUAGCCGACCUGAGAGGGUGAUAGGCCACCCUGGAACUGAGACACGGUCCAGACUCCUACGGGAGGCAGCAGUAGGGAAUCUUACGCAAUAGGCGAAAGCCUGACGGAGCAACGCCGCGUGAGUGAUGAAGGUCUUCGGAUCGUAAAACUCUGUUAUUAGGGAAGAACAAAUGUGUAAGUAACUAUGCACGUCUUGACGGUACCUAAUCAGAAAGCCACGGCUAACUACGUG